RNAcentral lists this transfer RNA (84 nucleotides) under Planctomycetaceae bacterium. Its description in RNAcentral is "tRNA-Leu". It matches the Rfam family "tRNA". Rfam says of the family: Transfer RNA (tRNA) molecules are approximately 80 nucleotides in length. Their secondary structure includes four short double-helical elements and three loops (D, anti-codon, and T loops). Lineage: Bacteria; Pseudomonadati; Planctomycetota; Planctomycetia; Planctomycetales; Planctomycetaceae. RNAcentral also lists the same sequence under 3 other names. The record is from RNAcentral.
GCGGGCGUGGCGGAAUUGGCAGACGCGCAGGAUUCAGGUUCCUGUCCUCGCAAGGGGGUGGAGGUUCGACUCCUCUCGCCCGCA